GAUGAACGCUGGCGGCGUGCUUAACACAUGCAAGUCGAGCGAAGCACUUUUGCAGAUUUCUUCGGAUUGAAGCAGCUGUGACUGAGCGGCGGACGGGUGAGUAACGCGUGGGUAACCUGCCUCAUACAGGGGGAUAACAGUUGGAAACGGCUGCUAAUACCGCAUAAGCGCACAGUACCGCAUGGUACGGUGUGAAAAACUCCGGUGGUAUGAGAUGGACCCGCGUCUGAUUAGGUAGUUGGUGGGGUAACGGCCUACCAAGCCGACGAUCAGUAGCCGACCUGAGAGGGUGACCGGCCACAUUGGGACUGAGACACGGCCCAAACUCCUACGGGAGGCAGCAGUGGGGAAUAUUGCACAAUGGGGGAAACCCUGAUGCAGCGACGCCGCGUGAGCGAUGAAGUAUUUCGGUAUGUAAAGCUCUAUCAGCAGGGAAGAAAAUGACGGUA
This 449-nucleotide ribosomal RNA is filed under the name uncultured bacterium. RNAcentral's name for it is "bacterial SSU rRNA". It matches the Rfam family "Bacterial small subunit ribosomal RNA", at positions 28 to 477 of the family's 1533-position model. The record is from RNAcentral.